This 527-nucleotide small RNA is filed under the name Fusarium nygamai. RNAcentral's name for it is "eukaryotic LSU rRNA". The stretch from base 149 to 302 matches the Rfam family "5.8S ribosomal RNA". The record is from RNAcentral. Lineage: Eukaryota; Fungi; Ascomycota; Sordariomycetes; Hypocreales; Nectriaceae.
GCGAGUUUACAACUCCCAAACCCCUGUGAACAUACCAAUUGUUGCCUCGGCGGAUCAGCCCGCUCCCGCUAAAACGGGACGGCCCGCCAGAGGACCCCUAAACUCUGUUUCUAUAUGUAACUUCUGAGUAAAACCGUAAAUAAAUCAAAACUUUCAACAACGGAUCUCUUGGUUCUGGCAUCGAUGAAGAACGCAGCAAAAUACGAUAAGUAAUGUGAAUUGCAGAAUUCAGUGAAUCAUCGAAUCUUUGAACGCACAUUGCGCCCGCCAGUAUUCUGGCGGGCAUGCCUGUUCGAGCGUCAUUUCAACCCUCAAGCCCCCGGGUUUGGUGUUGGGGAUCGGCGAGCCUCACGGCAAGCCGGCCCCGAAAUACAGUGGCGGUCUCGCUGCAGCUUCCAUUGCGUAGUAGUAAAACCCUCGCAACUGGUACGCGGCGCGGCCAAGCCGUUAAACCCCCAACUUCUGAAUGUUGACCUCGGAUCAGGUAGGAAUACCCGCUGAACUUAAGCAUAUCAAUAAGCGGAGGA